Molecule: transfer RNA, 73 nt
Organism: Felis catus (domestic cat)
Lineage: Eukaryota; Metazoa; Chordata; Mammalia; Carnivora; Felidae
Rfam family: tRNA
About the family: Transfer RNA (tRNA) molecules are approximately 80 nucleotides in length. Their secondary structure includes four short double-helical elements and three loops (D, anti-codon, and T loops). Further hydrogen bonds mediate the characteristic L-shaped molecular structure. tRNAs have two regions of fundamental functional importance: the anti-codon, which is responsible for specific mRNA codon recognition, and the 3' end, to which the tRNAs corresponding amino acid is attached (by aminoacyl-tRNA synthetases). tRNAs cope with the degeneracy of the genetic code in two manners: having more than one tRNA (with a specific anti-codon) for a particular amino acid; and 'wobble' base-pairing, i.e. permitting non-standard base-pairing at the 3rd anti-codon position.
Source: Rfam
UCCUAGCUGGCUCAGUUGGUAGAGCAUGAGACUCUUGAUCUCAGGGUUGUGAGUUUGAGUCCCAUGUUAGGUG